Molecule: non-coding RNA, 21 nt
Filed under: Caenorhabditis elegans
Lineage: Eukaryota; Metazoa; Nematoda; Chromadorea; Rhabditida; Rhabditidae
Source: RNAcentral
UCAUUUUGUAAGAUAUUUCAA